GACGGAGGGUGCUAGCGUUGUUCGGAAUCACUGGGCGUAAAGGGCGCGUAGGCGGCCGUGGCAGUCGGGUGUGAAAGCCCGGAGCUCAACUCCGGAACGGCACUCGAGACGCCACGGCUGGAGGCCGGAAGAGGAGGGUGGAAUACCCAGUGUAGAGGUGAAAUUCGUAGAUAUUGGGUGGAACACCGGUGGCGAAAGCGGCUCUCUGGUCCGGACCUGACGCUGAGGCGCGAAAGCGUGGGGAGCAAACAGG
This 253-nucleotide ribosomal RNA is filed under the name uncultured bacterium. Its description in RNAcentral is "partial 16S ribosomal RNA". It matches the Rfam family "Bacterial small subunit ribosomal RNA", at positions 524 to 776 of the family's 1533-position model. The record is from RNAcentral.